GAUGGAGCAGUCUGGUAGCUCGUCGGGCCCAUAACCCGAAGGUCGUAGGUUCAAAUCCUGCUCCCGCAA
Molecule: transfer RNA, 69 nt
Filed under: Leuconostoc kimchii IMSNU 11154
Lineage: Bacteria; Bacillati; Bacillota; Bacilli; Lactobacillales; Lactobacillaceae
Description: tRNA-Met
Rfam family: tRNA
About the family: Transfer RNA (tRNA) molecules are approximately 80 nucleotides in length.
Source: RNAcentral